Molecule: ribosomal RNA, 439 nt
Filed under: uncultured bacterium
Lineage: Bacteria
Description: bacterial SSU rRNA
Rfam family: Bacterial small subunit ribosomal RNA
Source: RNAcentral
GACGAACGCUGGCGGCGCGCCUAACACAUGCAAGUCGAACGGAGCUGAGAGGAGCUUGCUUUUCUUAGCUUAGUGGCGAACGGGUGAGUAACGCGUGAGUAACCUGCCCUGGAGUGGGGGACAACAGUUGGAAACGACUGCUAAUACCGCAUAAGCCCACGAUCCGGCAUCGGAUUGAGGGAAAAGGAUUUAUUCGCUUCAGGAUGGACUCGCGUCCAAUUAGCUAGUUGGCGAGGUAACGGCCCACCAAGGCGACGAUUGGUAGCCGGACUGAGAGGUUGAACGGCCACAUUGGGACUGAGACACGGCCCAGACUCCUACGGGAGGCAGCAGUGGGGGAUAUUGCACAAUGGGGGAAACCCUGAUGCAGCGACGCCGCGUGGAGGAAGAAGGUUUUCGGAUUGUAAACUCCUGUCGUUAGGGACGAUAAUGACGGUAC